RNAcentral lists this microRNA (23 nucleotides) under Human alphaherpesvirus 1 (Herpes simplex virus type 1). RNAcentral's name for it is "hsv1-miR-H13". Its record names the gene hsv1-miR-H13. Lineage: Duplodnaviria; Heunggongvirae; Peploviricota; Herviviricetes; Herpesvirales; Orthoherpesviridae. The record is from miRBase by way of RNAcentral.
UUAGGGCGAAGUGCGAGCACUGG